UGGAAGAUGGCUAAGUCAGUAAAGUGCUUGUCUUGUAAACAUGAUGGUCUGAGUUUAAUACCCAGUUCCCAU
RNAcentral lists this transfer RNA (72 nucleotides) under Mus musculus (house mouse). It matches the Rfam family "tRNA". From Rfam's summary of the family: Transfer RNA (tRNA) molecules are approximately 80 nucleotides in length. Their secondary structure includes four short double-helical elements and three loops (D, anti-codon, and T loops). The record is from Rfam by way of RNAcentral. RNAcentral also lists the same sequence under 1 other name. Lineage: Eukaryota; Metazoa; Chordata; Mammalia; Rodentia; Muridae.